This 854-nucleotide ribosomal RNA is filed under the name uncultured archaeon. RNAcentral's name for it is "bacterial SSU rRNA". It matches the Rfam family "Archaeal small subunit ribosomal RNA", at positions 85 to 922 of the family's 1478-position model. The record is from RNAcentral.
ACGGCUCAGUAACACGUGGCCAACCUGCCCUUGGGACGGGAACACCCCCGGGAAACUGGGGUUAAUUCCCGAUAGGUGAAGAAGUCUGGAAUGAUUCUUCGCUCAAAAGACGUUUAUGUCAUGCUCAUAUUCGUCGCCCAGGGAUGGGGCCGCGACCGAUCAGGUAGUUGGUGAGGCAAUGGCUCACCAAGCCUUUUACCGGUGCGGGCCGUGAGAGCGGGAGCCCGGAGAUGGGCACUGAGACAAGGGCCCAGGCCCCACGGGGCGCAGCAGUCGCGAAAAUUUUGCAAUACACGAAAGUGUGACAGAGCUAUCCCGAGUGCCAUCCGCUGAGGAAGGCUUUUACCCAGUAUAAAUAGCUGGGAGAAUAAGGAGAGGGCAAGUCUGGUGUCAGCCGCCGCGGUAAUACCAGCUCUCCGAGUAGUGUGGACGUUUAUUGGGCCUAAAGCAUCCGUAGCUUGCUAGAUAAGUCCUCUGUUAAAUCCACCGAUUCAAUCGUUGGAUUGCGGGGGAUACUGUUUGGCUAGGGGACGGGAGAGGUCGACGGUAUUUCCGGGGUAGGGGUGAAAUCCUAUAAUCCCGGGAGGACCACCAGUGGCGAAGGCUGUCGACUAGAACGCGCCCGACGGUGAGGGAUGAAAGCUGGGGGAGCGAACCGGAUUAGAUACCCGGGUAGUCCCAGCUGUAAACGAUGCAGGCUAGGUGUUUGGGCGGCCACGAGCCGCCCUAGUGCCGCAGGGAAGCUGUUAAGCCUGCCGCCUGGGGAGUACGGCCGCAAGGCUGAAACUUAAAGGAAUUGGCGGGGGAGCACCACAAGGGGUGAAGCUUGCGGUUUAAUUGGAUUCAACGCCGGG